This 274-nucleotide ribosomal RNA is filed under the name uncultured bacterium. RNAcentral describes it as "partial 16S ribosomal RNA". It matches the Rfam family "Bacterial small subunit ribosomal RNA", at positions 523 to 796 of the family's 1533-position model. The record is from RNAcentral.
AUACGGAGGGGGUUAGCGUUGUUCGGAAUUACUGGGCGUAAAGCGUACGUAGGCGGACUGAUCAGUUGGGGGUGAAAUCCCAGGGCUUAACCCUGGAACUGCCUUCAAUACUGUCAGUCUUGAGAUUGGAAGAGGUGAGUGGAAUUCCUAGUGUAGAGGUGAAAUUCAUAGAUAUUAGGAGGAACACCAGUGGCGAAGGCGGCUCACUGGUCCAAUACUGACGCUGAGGUACGAAAGCGUGGGGAGCAAACAGGAUUAGAUACCCUUGUAGUCC